UAUCCUGGCAUACACACAGGUACACAUACACAUGAACAUGUGCAUUAUAUACAGGCAUAGGCAUGUGUGUAUACACCUAUGUGUCCACACACACAUGGAUCUUCUGUUGGGAUUCCCACUCUCACUAGGUUAGGUCAAGGGUACUAUAUAGAUCCUGGUCUUAUUGACUGAGUCAAUUUCAGUCCUGAAUGUAAGGAAUUUUGAAAAUUGUGCAUGCCAGCAGGUGCCCCCUGUGAGCUGAAUAGUCAGACUGGGUUGUCUGUGAGAUCCAGGAUGGAUGCUCACAGGCUUCUAGGACAGAGUUUAUAGUGUGGAGACCAAUGGACAAGGGUCUUCUUUCUUUAUGGCUCUUCACCAAUGGUGAAAAGAAGCACCUCCGUGGCCUUGUGGAGCUACUUGUAUCUCUGUGUCCCAGCUACACAGAAACAGGAAACCAGGACACAGUGUUCAGCUCCCAUUUCCUGAGCUAAAGUGGCCACCAGGGUAAGUGAAAUUGGAUAAGUGAGGGACUAGCUAUCACAGGCUUCUGGCUCGGAACAUACUGAGGGGGAUCUGUGUAGAAUCAAGCCAGCAAGGUGGCUUCAUCUCACAUUAUUGUCAGUGUUACUGAGUUUCCAGUGGAGCUUCAUGUGAGAAGAUUAAUGUGGCACAAUCUCAAGCAUGCAGUUUAGCCUCUUUUAGGUGUGUAUACAUUCCCCAAAGCCCUGUCUAAAUGAUGGCUAAAUAAACAUUGGAAUAUCUUCUGCCUCUGGGGAAGUUUUGAAGUUGCUCAUUCCAAUUACUAUAGGAACAAGAAUCCUGAUGGGCUGGUUUCAUCCUGGAAAAGGAAACAAAGACCUCAGACUUCUCAUUGAUAUGUGUCUCUGUAUGUUGGAGUGUUCUCAGUACCCUUAUUCUGCUUUGUUUCUCUGGAACAAGGUGAGGGCACUCUAAAGAGGUGUUCCAUCUGUCCUGUUGAGGAAGAGAAUGUAUAGAAGUUGCAGGAACCAUAUCCUCUAGGGGACAUCUCUCUUGUCUUGUUGCAUUUCACUCUAUUCUUGCAGAAACCCAAGUUUCUUGUUUCCCCUUAACAGGAAAAAAUACAAGUACAGAAAGAGCAGAGCAGUCUUCCUUUGAAACAUUUCUGAAGUCAGGAGAUGGGCUGAGGAGGCAUAGGCAUGAGGACCUGAGUUCAAAUCCCCAUAAGCAAUGUAAAGAGACAGUUAUAGUAGUUUGUAUGUAAUCCACAUGCCAGGAGGCAGACAGGAGAAUCCCUGAGAGUCAUCAUCAGCCAGUCUAUCCAGUUGGUGAGCACCAGAUUCAGUGAGAUAUCAAAACAGAUAGAUAAUGGUAGAGGAAGAUAUGGGAGUUGACUCUGGGUCUCUAAAUAUAUAAACACACACACACACACACACACACACACACACAUACAUAAAUGCAUACAUAUGUACAUACAUACAUACAUACAUAGGUGCUUGUACCCUCUCACACACAGAGACACACACAAGAGGAAAAUAAAAGUAAGGAUACAAAUCUGUCCCCCAGUAAUCCUGUGUUAUCACAUAGUACUUUGUUGGAAAGGUUUCUUUGGGGUACCUACUAUGUGCCAGGAAACUAGAAGCUCAAGUUCCUGAGCGUCACACCUGAAGACCUUCAGAGCCCCUGUGUGAUAACAUCAUAGAAGUCCCUAGGGGCUACUCAGGUCUUUGGGACUUCUCAACUAUAUGCCUUAUAAAACAAAUAGAAAAUGUCACCACAGGGCUCACAUCAGAGGUGUCCAGAGUAUGGCUGGUGGCCCUUGAAUUUAAGAGCUGUUGGGAGUGGGCUCGGUCAAUCAGUGCUUGCUGUGUAAGCAUGGAGAUCUGAGUUUGAUCUUCAGAAUCCAUGUUAAAAAAAAAAAGCGCAGUGUGGUAGUAUAUGACUGUGGGUCUAGCUGGGGGAGAAGGAAAUAGGAGGACCUUAAAGCUUGCUGGCUAGCCAGCCUGGUGGCAUCAGUGGGUCUCAGCCCAUUGAGAGUCCCUGUCUUACAGUGGGAGCACAGAGCCAUCUUAAGCAACAGAAACUCUGAGAGAAGAGUCUAGAGCUUGCAAAUAUCACUUCCACUUGACAAAACACACUACUUGCCAGGGGACUGGCUCUGAAUUCCUUUGAGAGCCUUUGUUUUUCACCCAAGCAGUGUUGAAGUCAGUGUCUAAGUCAGAAGAACCUGACCCAGAGUUCACAGGAGAAGCUGUUCUUUGUCCUCUGUAGAGGGCUUGUUUGAAAUCCAUAUGAUCAUCUUGCUGGCUUGUUUCUCUUUGGUCCUGUGUAAUACUCACCCAUGGCUUUGUUGAUUACUUUUAACUGUAUUGAGCAGCACCAGGAAAUGUUCUCUGAGCACUCCUAUCUCCGUGACUACCCUGAAGAACCCCUCUGCAGCUCAUGCAGGGAGAAUGCCAAUCUUCUCCAACAUGACAGCAGAGCAGGUGACAGGGGCACAUUGUUCCUUAUAACCAAUCCCUCUCAUUUCACUAGAGGAUUAUCAGCUAACGAAAAGUUGCUGACUUUCUCCCUAAGCUUUUUGGGAAGGCCAAUCCCUUGGUCACUUAUCAUAGUUUAUGGGAUGCUGACAACAUUUUGCCAGAAUGGGAAAGAGUAAGGAAGUUGAUCAGGCCAUACAGCAACUCUUCUCCUUUCUCCUCUUAAUUGAAAGAGAAAAGAACCCAAGACAGUUCCUCCAUGCUCCUGGACUCCUCCCUCUUUUCCGUACACACCCAGCUUCUGGACGAAGAUUCUCUCUCAAGUCCCAUCUCCUCUGGCUCCCUGAUUCCUCAAGUCCAACUGUUUUUUUUUCUGCCUGUCCCCACCAUCCUUCCAACUCUCCCUGUGCUAUAAUGUUGGAUGGUGGAGGCUGAUGUGGGAAUCCAUUGCCAGGAGACAGACAGUUUCCAGGACCAUUCUUUACAUCCCACAUCAUCCCUUUCCCCAGGUCUUUGCUUAUAAUCAACACAUCAGAACAAUGGAGAGACAUUCUGUCUCUGCUGAGGAUUUUUGGUGUAGGAAGGAGUGACAUGGAAUGGUGAUGGUGACCAACCCCUGUCGGAUAUUUGAUAUGUCAGCCUUCAAUAUGCCUGCGGCUCAGCCUUGCCUUGGCCUGGCAUUUACCUCUGCUGUCUGCCCUGCUCUGACAUCAUCUCCUAUAUACUCCUUGCUUCUUUCUCCUUGGAUGCCUUGGGUGCUGAGCAUCCCAGGAGAAACUACUAGUCCAUUGUAUCCUCCUUUCUGCUUCUAUUCUAGUCGCAGCCCUGUUUUUGCCCCUGUAACCUUGAGAGAUUUUAUCCUCUCCGCUCAGGUGUCAUAAACAUUGCUUAUAGUUCACCUGCAUUUAUAGCUAGACAUUUAUAAUCAGUGGGGGUGGGAAGGGUCCUAGGAUUCCAGGAUCUGAGUUCUAACCUGCUCUCAUACAUUUCAAGGACCACAUUGUCCCAAGGACUGAUUCUGUGGGCUGCUAAAAUGAAAGGUGAUUAAUCUGGCAAGGAACAUUAAUAUUAAUGAUCUAAAAAAAAAAGAGCCAGGACAGGCCAGAACCUUUCCCCAAGGGUUUUGUGUACAGCAACUUUCUAGACACAACUGAUUUAUUCAUUGGACAAAUAUUUAUGGGUUGCCUCCUGCACAUAAGUGAGGCACCCGAGUUCCUUGGACAGUGUUUCUUGAACAUGACUAUGCAGGCAGGGUGCUGGGGGGCUGGUACAGGCAGGUACUGAUGCAGUAUGUCUGUGUGGACCUGAGAUUCUGCAUUCCUGUCAGGUUCCCCACAAAGAGCACUGCUUCCAAAGAUCACAUCAGAGUUGGCAAGAGUCCAGACCAGGGCUACCCAGGGGGAAGCAUGGCCUGGAUCACUCAUCACAGACACACCCAUGGCUUUAAAUAGUUGAAAGGCCAAAUUUAAAGGAAGAGUGGCCAGAGAAAUGGCUCUGUGGAUAAAUUGUUUGCCUUACAAAUGUAAAGUUUAGAGUUCAAGACCCCACAAGCCAUGUUUUUUUUUUUUUUAAAAAAAGCAGACAUGAUAUCCUACCUGUAAUCCUAGUACCGUGGAGGCAGAGGUAAGGGAUCCCCAAGGCAAGAGCUAGCUCAAGUCGCCAAAUUGGGAAGCUAUAGGCUUAGCAGGGCAUUGCCUCAGUAAAUAAGGUAGAGAGUGAUAGAGAAAGAUAACUGAUAUUAACCCCAGGUCUUCACACAUACAUAUAUAUGUUGUAUAUGGGUGUUCACAUACCUGGGCUCCCACACAUACACAUACACACACAUGCACACACACAGUACAGAAUUAAAUUUUAAAAAGAUAAAAAUAAAUAGGUGGAGUGUAUUUUAAAGAUUUGUUCUUUUAUGCUAGUAUGUUCAAAACCCAGUAUUAACAUGCCAUCAGAAGGAACGUGUUCAGAUUUUUCACAACCUGGCUUCACUUUGCAUGUAUCUGCUUUUUGCUUUGGAUAUGGAAACAUCCGAGAUGCUCAGUGACCUCACAUAGCCGUGUGCUCACAGAGUCCACAUUACUGACUCAUAGCAGGUGAUAUGGAAAAAAAUGACUCUGAGAGAAGCAGAAGGGGGCACAAGGAGUCUGGCACUGCAGCUCAGGGCCACAUGGUUGCCUUGGUAGAGAAGCAUCUUCAGACUCACAAAUGUGAGGCCACAUAACUCCCCCCCACCCCGUGAACACUGAAAUGAAAUUCUGAGUUCUAAGCUAGUCGCUUGGAAGUGGGCUGUGUUUUCUUCUCCAUCCCAUUCUAAUGUCAAAUUGCUUGAAAAUGCACAGGUAUGCUAGGGAGUGUCUUGAAGGAAACCCUGCCCAAAUGUGUGGUUCCCAUUCACAGUUCUUUCUGAGAUCAAGGCCUUUGAGCACAACCUAGCUGUUGGCAUCAUGUCCUGGGUGUGGCAGAGUCCACUUUGCAGCUCUUUUUCACUUGAUGGAUGGGAGAAGAGAGGAGGGAAGAGCCAUCAGAGAGAGGGGACCAGGUUAUAUGACUUGGGGUGGAGAUGCGCAAUAAUCAGACUCUUUUUAUUUUUGCCUCCUGCAUUCUUUUUCAUUUUGGAUCCUUGGUCCUUCACUUUAGAAGGUUCUCAAUCUGUCUGAGUGGGACUUUGGAAGCCAUCACACAAAGCAGCUCUGGGUAGUCAAGGACAGGCAUAAACGUUGACCACGUUUCCAUGGUUCUCUGGAAAUGGCUGUGAUGCUGGGCCUGGGAUCUCAGUUUUGGGUUGCUCUCUGAGAAUUGCUGCAUUCUGAAUCUCUGAGGAGCUGCCACGGUGAUGGCAGUUAUGCUUAUUGGCCACCUCUUUUGUGUACAUGGAGUUUGACCCAAGUUUCAUUUUCACCCAAGUUCUUGGUGGGCCAGCAUCUUUUCCAGGAGGAUCAGGACUGAGCUGGAGUCUUCUUCUAUGAGGUAAGGAAGCAGGUGUGUAUCACACCAGCCUCCUCUGUACCCUGUCACUUGGGGUUGAUUUGUACCUUGAGUGUCCAGGACCAUGGAUGAGUGCUGGCUCUGGGGUUGGAUUGCCCAGGUUGAACUUUGGGCUGGUGUCUUGUCUCCUGUGAGUCUUAGUUUCUCUGUCUCUCGGGCUCUACAGUGAUAGUUAAUACUUGUUGCCCAGGUUAAGAGGUAAUUAAGUGAUAACUAAUGUAGAGAUGCUUAUGGCGUCUUGGAGAGGUUAGUGUCACCGUCGUUCAUACCAUCAUCAACACCAUUGUUGUCUCACUAACCCCAACACCAUCUUCAGCAUGAUCCAUCGCUGUCACCAUCACUGUCAUUACAACUUCAACAUCAUCACUGCCACCGACACUGUCAUUACUGUCUUCACCACCACCAGCAUCAUCACCAUCAACACCACCAACAUCACUGUCAACCACCUCUGUCAUCGUCACCACCACCAUCAUCCUUGCCAGUUGGUCUCCCUGCCUGACUAUGGCUGGAAAUGGAAUGAACAGGAUGAAGGUGAUGGGUAAUGAUGAUGGCCAACUUGAACAAAACUAGAAAUCACCUAGGAGACAGUUACCUGGACAUGUCUGUGAGGUAUUUCUAAAUGAUGCUAAUUAAGAUAGGGAGACUCCUGCUAAAUGUGGGUAGCACCAUGUCAUGGGAUGGGAUUCUAGACUGAAUUUAAAAAGAUAAGACGAGUGCCAGAAUUAAUUACUGGAAUGUGCUCUUGACUGCGGAUGCUAUGAGGGCAGCUGCCACCCAUGCCUGCUCCCAGGCCUUUCCCCCUGUGAUGGGCCAUCAAAUGGUGAGCCAUAAUCAACUCUUCUUUCCUUAGGUCACUUUUAUCUGGUAUUUUGUAACAGCAAUGUAAAACAUAAUGAAUAUCAACGUUCUAGAUAUCUGGUCCCACUCACUUCCCAGCCCUCUCUCCCAGGGCAUCCUCUUUCCUGAACUGAUGAAUAGGAGACUGGAUCUUUUCGUUACUUUUUUUCAUUUCCUAAAUAACAAUGUUUCUGGAAAAGCUUGCAAACACAGUUCCCACUCCUUCAGGCAAGCGCAAAUGAAGUACAUGAAGAGCUUGGCUUGGGAUUCCCAAAGGAGCAGGCUAGGGUGGAAGGAUAGCAAGCUGGGGUGGGAACACUCAGGAGAGAAGCUGCCGGUCCAGCGCCAUCCGCUAUUGAGUUAUCACGCGGCUGCUCAGCCAGCUCAGUACAAAUUAAUCUCUCGUGGCUGACCAAUUAUGCAUAGUCUUUAGGGAGAAAACAAGUUAAAGAAAAUGUGUUAGGUAAAGCAAGGGCUAGCCGCUCUUGAAUUGGGAGGAGGAGCAGACUCACUCUGUGUCAAGGCUUAUUUUCACAACUGUAGUCCGGUAGAAUUACCAGCAUGCAUAAUAGAGGGACCACAUCUAAUGGUGUGUGUGUGUGUGUGUGUGUGUGUGUGUAGUGAGGCGGGUAGGCAUCUGCUUUUCAACAGAUGCUUGCUCCGUGUUCACUUCUCUGUUCUCCCUCCCUGGCUCUCUCCUCCCUCAGCCCUUCCUCUAACAGACAGAGCACAUCCCCAGUAGCCCCCGAGCUCAUCUCUCCUCUGCUGUUCUUGCCUCCUGGAAAUUGUAAAGCUGUUUUCUUCAACCCCACCAGUGAGAGCGACACUUGCCAGGGCUGUUGCUGCCUCACCGAGUAAUCUGUGGGGCUGGGACAAUGCUGGUUGUGAGAGCCAGGAAAAAAUUCCAAACUGUCUCCGUUUAUUUGUGACUAUGUGUAUAUAUGUAUGUGUGCUCAGGUAUACAUGUAUAUGUGAGUACGUGAAUGUGGAGAAGGCAAACUUGAAUAUGCUAGAUGACAAUGAAGGUUUCCCUGGGUACUACUAAGCUUGAUUUUUGAUCCUGGGGCUCACUGACUGGGCUAGAUUGGCUAGCCAGGGAGCCCCAGAUAUCUGCUUGUCUCUGCUUCCCUUGUAGAGGUUGCAGGCAUAUACCACUAUACUUGGGUUUUCACAUGGGGCUCAAAGUUCAGUACCUAUGCAGCCUAUUUUACUGAGUACCUCACCCAAGUUGUCUCGGUUUUUAUAGGCAUCCAAGGAUCUGUUGGUGGAUGUCUUUACCAAGGUUGUUGCUCUCCCUCCCAUCACAUUCUCCCCCAGUGCCUCCCACUCGACCAUUGUUCUCUCUGAGGGAUUUUAGCCUCUAGAAACAUUGCCACAUUAAGUCUCAUCAACAGUGGAUUGAACCCAGGACAUUGAUGAUAGCUGGUACUACAGAGCAGUCUCCUUUUGCUUUUGCGGAAUACACAAUACUGUGAGCUGUGAGGUUUGUCUGGAAGAAGCAUUGUAAGAAUGAGUAUUUGUCAGUUUACAUAUACACCAAGGCUCUUGAAAUUUUCAUUCAUUCAUUUCGACACUCUCCAGAGUAGGAGCUUUUGCUCAUUCAGCAUCUAGACUUCUUCUACUCCACAAAUCCUCGCUGAGGGCUUAGUCGGUGCUAGGCACAGUGCCAUGUUCUUGGGAUAUUGUGGUAAAAACACGUCUAUGUCUAUUCUUAUUCAGUGUGUGACUUCAUGUACACAGCAUGCUUGUCAUCAAAUCCCUGCAAGGCUUAUCAGAUGUUCCGCAUCAUGCACACAAGAGACACUAAUGCAGCUAAGAAGGCAAGAUGAGGAGUGACCAGUAGACAGAAGCAGAAGGUCACAACAAAGGGAGACAGAACCACAAGAAGCAAAAGCAGAGGACCACACUGAAAUGAAACUCACUGGCGCAGCUAAGAAGGAAAGAGAAGAAAGGAGAAACCAGAUUCCUGGGAUCUAUGACCAUCAGUAUUGGGAAACAGAGAAAAAGAUUAAAACGAGUUUCCUCUUUG
Molecule: long non-coding RNA, 8280 nt
Organism: Mastomys coucha (southern multimammate mouse)
Lineage: Eukaryota; Metazoa; Chordata; Mammalia; Rodentia; Muridae
Exons: 2
Source: RefSeq, a predicted model, not a curated record